Molecule: small nucleolar RNA, 132 nt
Organism: Echinops telfairi (small Madagascar hedgehog)
Lineage: Eukaryota; Metazoa; Chordata; Mammalia; Afrosoricida; Tenrecidae
Product: small nucleolar RNA SNORA25
Exons: 1
Source: RefSeq, a predicted model, not a curated record
AGGUCAUUUCAAAGAGGGCUUGUGGAACUGAGACCAAGAGCUCUUAACGCUGUGACCAAAGAUUAAGAUUCUCCACGGAAUGCCAUCGUCACCCCAUAAUGCUACGUUUUCUCCAACAGUGGAGAUACAAGA